UGUCACAGCAUACACCCGGAAAAGCCAUACCCGCAGGCAGCAGCGCGCACCCAGGCGCCUGCCGAGGCAGUGAUCCUACCCAACACGGUACCGUGUCCAGCAAUCAGCUCCCUCGCACCUUUAGGUCUCAGCAGUAGAGCAGCCGAACCCGGGCAGUAACGUCCCAACGAGAACCUAGAGCUCCCUUGCUCCCGCCGCAGCUCCUACCGGCCGCCGCACCGUCCUACCUCCUCUUGCCGAAUCUCAAGCACGAGCUAGACCACCAGUCCUAGGGUUAAGCCCUUCUCAAGCGGCUAUUGGAACUCGUGGGCCUAGGCCACGGCGACUCCGACGACGGGUCCCCCCUCCGACCGCGAGAACCGGGCAUACUAAGUUUACCACUUAGACCAACGCGGGACUCCGCGCCGCCUUUUCUCGGCGCAGCGGUUGUUUCAAUCGAGUUAGAUAGCCUUUCCAAUUAGCCCUCCGUGGACCUAUUACCUGCUUUUCCACUCGGCAGUACAGGGGCACCAGACUAACAUAUAACUUAAACUCGCGUAAAUAGCUGUCUAUCAAUUCAAGUUCCCUCGUCCAUAAACCAAAACCGCACAAAGUCCAUCAAUCUACAGCAUUCCACAAAUCUUAAAGUCUAUUCUCUUUGCAACGGAACUUGGUCCGACGUAUAGUCCUGACAGCUAAUUUACAAAACUCUUUGGUCAAGUAUUAAAGGUCCCUUUUACGAUGACAGACGUCGUGUGGUCAAAACACAAUUAACUGACCUGCUUCGUAAUAACUACAUCCAAUUCUGAUCCCUCACGUGGCGGCCUGUCUUUAAGCACGCGAAGUACCUACUCGCGUGACCUCGUUAGCUAUGCCUUCAAACGACUCCUUGGCUGCUCCUCACACUAAUUUGGUCUUAAUCCUUGUGCAAGGCUAAGCAACUUGCUCCGUAUGCUGAAGAUGUCAGAAAUAAGUGCCCUUCAAUCUAAGUCAUUUUUUAGGCUGACUUGCGUCUUUCUUGGUUCAGCUACGUCCUCUCACACACGCCAACAAGCGAUCCAAGACACCAUGCUCUAUGUUACAGCCAAAGAAAAAACACGUUAAAACCAAACUUUUUUGUCGUAGUACCUCACUCGACUACACGGUAGUGAAAAAAACUAAAAAAAAGGACCCUUUCGGACUCCGUCUCUUAUCGACUAGUACGUCCACGCUCACGGCUUUCAAAACUUACUCAAAAACGACUCAGGACUCUUACAACCCACCUAGUGGCGGAUGCUGUUAAAACUGAUCAUACAUACCCGAUCGUAUCUUGAGAAUGAACGACCAUCGAGGGUCUUCGGCUCAAUAACAAACAACAAUAAUGUCUAGUUUUGUCUCGUCGGCCUAAAACUUGGGAAUGAACGGUUAGUCGGCCUAAAAAGCAUAUCCAAAAAACACUUUUUGACAAAAUGGACUUCUUAUAAAGUUAAUCAAUCGACUUGAUCCCAUUUAACAAGCAUUUAGUCAUGGACGUAUCUAUAACGUAAUCAUCCCUCUUGAUGACAUGACUUAAUCGUGCAAACGUUUAAAAGUGCGAUACGGAGCCGUCACGUGGUGGUCUGUCCCGUGGUACACGAAGAUCCUACGAAUUUGACAAAAAACCAACUAGUAACGUUUUUAAUUUACAACAAUAGGACGUUCUUUACCAAGUUCGUGAAGGUAGGUGACGACCGCCACCGUAGGCCUGUCCUGAACUACCUACUCGAGUGAGGACCCCCACUCAAUUGUGACUUAAACACACGUAAGUUGCCUACGGGUCACUCUUUCUCUUCUUUUACAUGGCGCCUACCGAACUGUCUACCUCUCUCUAAAAAAUAGGACAAAAACACCUACUCGAAACAUUCCUUCUGCUGCUUUAUCUGACCCUAAUUUGGUAAGUACAAGGGACACUACAAGUACCUAACGACCAGGAACAUGUAAGAGCUGUGACUCUUCUUCUAACAUUACCACGAACUAGGUUGUCUCUGUCUAGGUAGUCUACUCUACUUCUCCUUCGUACUCCGCGACCGUUCCUUCAAGGUCGCAUCCAAAAUGUUGGAAAAAUUACUGUUCAAACCUCGUCCGAACCAGCUCUGCUGACCUACCAGUAAACACAUGGGCAACCAACGCGUUGUGCUCGGUACGUGGUCCCUUCUGCCACACCACAUACAGGACGUGAUGUAUGACCUCAAGUGACCGGAAAUGGACUCUAGCUUAUACUUGGUCCUCGUCUAGCUCGUGGAGGCGUUCUUCUAACGUACACUGUAUCACUGCUACUUCCUCUUAUUCCCUACGUAGGGUCUCAAGGACAUGCUCCUCUAGGAGCUGAUUUCACUACUUCAUAAGCAAGUGAGAUGCACGUCGGGCCGUUCUAGAAAACCAACUUAACAGGGCUAAAUCAACAACCCCGUAAAACGUCGUGUUUGUGGACGGUGGAACAUCUACUUUUUGAUACCUGUACAUGACGUAAAAAUCUACCUAAGAAUUCGUCAAAUUCAUUUACAUUCGCGACUAUACUAUACACCUACAUACAAGUAUAGAGUCUUACACGUUACGAUAACCAUGAUCACCAAUAAACUAGGGCACUAAAUG
This 2589-nucleotide ribosomal RNA is filed under the name Triticum aestivum (bread wheat). RNAcentral describes it as "partial small subunit ribosomal RNA". The record is from RNAcentral. Lineage: Eukaryota; Viridiplantae; Streptophyta; Magnoliopsida; Poales; Poaceae.